AUGGGCUUCUCCGACUUCCAGUUCCUACCCAGGGACGGCGCCGGCCGCGACCCGCGCCGCUUCCCCGGCCACCGCGAGGUGCACUGCUACCUCCCGGACUUCUGCGCCGCGUUCGGGCUCAUGGACGCCGUCAGGCUCAACACCCGGGUCGUCCGCGUCGCUCCGACGUCGACGACGACGCGUCAGCGUCAGUGGGCGGUGAGGUCCGUGCGGCGCCUCGGCGGCCCGGAGGAUGGUGCGCGGGUAGAGGAGGAGGAGGAGGAGGUAGUGUUUGACGCGGUGGUCGUGGCCACCGGUCAGUACUCGCAUCCGAUGCUCCCCAGCGGCAUCGAGGGAGUGGGGGAAUGGAGGCGCCGGCAGCUGCACAGCCGCUUGUACAGGACGCCGGAGCCGUUCCGCGGCGAGGCGGUGGUGGUGGUCGGCUGCGGGGACAGCGGCACGGACAUCGCGCUGGACCUCCGCCGCGUCGCCCGGGAGGUGCACCUCGCCGCCAGCUCCGAGGCCGCCACGCCGGCCGUGUCGAGGAUGGUGGCCAACCACGGCGACGUGCUGCGCCUCCACCCGCGGGUGCGCCGGCUGCACGCCGACGGGCGCGUGUCGUUCGCGGACGGCUCCUCCGUCGUCGCGGAUACGGUGUUCUUCUGCACGGGGUACGGCUACUCGUUCCCGUUCCUGGACACGGGCGGGGCGGUCGCCGUGGGCGACGGCGGCUGCGUGGUCGCGCCGCUGUUCGAGGCUUCGAGCACGUGUUCCCGCCGUCCCUGGCGCCGUCGCUCUCCUUCGUGGGCGUGCCGAGGAAGGUCCUGGUGCCGUGGUUCGUCGAGGCGCAGGCGAGGUGGGUCGCGCAGGCGCUGUCCGGCCGCCGCGCGCUGCCGCCGGAGGCGGAGAUGCUGCGGGCCGUGGAGGAGCACUUCCGCGCCAGGGAGGCCGCCGGCGUGCCGAGGAAGCACACCCACCACGGCACCACCACAUCGGCGGCAUUGA
This 984-nucleotide ribosomal RNA is filed under the name Triticum aestivum (bread wheat). RNAcentral describes it as "partial small subunit ribosomal RNA". The record is from RNAcentral. Lineage: Eukaryota; Viridiplantae; Streptophyta; Magnoliopsida; Poales; Poaceae.